AGUCGAACGAGAAAGUGGAGCAAUCCAUGAGUAAAGUGGCGACCGGGUGAGUAACACGUGACUAACCUACCUCCGAGUGGGGAAUAACUCCGGGAAACCGGGGCUAAUACCGCAUAACAUCGCAAGAUCAAAGCCGAAAGGCGCUUGGAGAGGGGGUCGCGGCUGAUUAGCUAGUUGGUAGGGUAAUGGCCUACCAAGGCGAAGAUCGGUAUCCGGCCUGAGAGGGCGCACGGACACACUGGAACUGAAACACGGUCCAGACUCCUACGGGAGGCAGCAGUGGGGAAUUUUGCGCAAUGGGGGAAACCCUGACGCAGCAACGCCGCGUGGAGGAUGAAGCCCCUUGGGGCGUAAACUCCUUUCGACCAAGACGAUAAUGACGGUACUGGUGGAAGAAGCACCGGCUAACUCUGUGCCAGCAGCCGCGGUAAUACAGAGGGUGCGAGCGUUGUUCGGAAUUAUUGGGCGUAAAGGGCGCGUAGGCGGUGCCACAAGUCACCUGUGAAAUCUCCGGGCUUAACUCGGAGCCUGCAGGCGAAACUGUGGUGCUGGAGUGUGGGAGAGGUGCGUGGAAUUCCCGGUGUAGCGGUGAAAUGCGUAGAUAUCGGGAGGAACACCUGUGGCGAAAGCGGCGCACUGGACCAUAACUGACGCUGAGGCGCGAAAGCUAGGGGAGCAAACAGGAUUAGAUACCCUGGUAGUCCUAGCCCUAAACGAUGAUUGCUUGGUGUAGCAGGUACCCAAUCCUGCUGUGCCGCAGCUAACGCGAUAAGCAAUCCGCCUGGGGAGUACGGUCGCAAG
This 801-nucleotide ribosomal RNA is filed under the name uncultured Bacillota bacterium. RNAcentral describes it as "bacterial SSU rRNA". It matches the Rfam family "Bacterial small subunit ribosomal RNA", at positions 60 to 892 of the family's 1533-position model. The record is from RNAcentral. Lineage: Bacteria; Bacillati; Bacillota.